ACGAACGCUGGCGGCGCGCUUCAUACAUGCAAGUCGAACGUGAACCUCGGGGCUUGCCCUGGGGGGAAAGUGGCGAACGGGUGCGUAACACGUGAGCAACCUGCCCCGAAGAUCGGGAUAACAUCGGGAAACCGGUGCUAAUACCGGAUGCCCUCGCCGGACCGCAUGAUCCGGCGAGGAAAUGGACCUCCGCUUCGGGAUGGGCUCGCGGCCUAUCAGCUUGUUGGUGGGGUAACGGCCCACCAAGGCAACGACGGGUAGCUGGUCUGAGAGGACGAUCAGCCACACUGGGACUGAGACACGGCCCAGACUCCUACGGGAGGCAGCAGUAGGGAAUCUUGCGCAAUGGGGGAAACCCUGACGCAGCGACGCCGCGUGCGGGAUGAAGGCCUUCGGGUCGUAAACCGCUUUCAGCAGGGACGAAUCUGACGGUACCUGCAGAAGAAGGCCCGGCCAACUACGU
Molecule: ribosomal RNA, 463 nt
Filed under: uncultured bacterium
Lineage: Bacteria
Description: bacterial SSU rRNA
Rfam family: Bacterial small subunit ribosomal RNA
Source: RNAcentral